GACGAACGCUGGCGGCGUGCCUAAUACAUGCAAGUCGAACGAACCGCGACUAGGUGCUUGCACUUGGUCAAGGUGAGUGGCGAACGGGUGAGUAACACGUGGGUAACCUACCUCAUAGUGGGGGAUAACAGUCGGAAACGACUGCUAAUACCGCAUAGGACAUAGGAUCACAUGAUCCAGUGAGGAAAGGUGGCGCAAGCUAUCGCUAAGAGAUGGACCCGCGGUGCAUUAGCUAGUUGGUAGGGUAAAGGCCUACCAAGGCGAUGAUGCAUAGCCGACCUGAGAGGGGGAUCGGCCACAUUGGGACUGAGAAACGGCCCAAACUCCUACGGGAGGCAGCAGUAGGGAAUCUUCCGCAAUGGACGCAAGUCUGACGGAGCAACGCCGCGUGAGUGAAGAAGGUCUUCGAUCGUAAAGCUCUGUUGUUAGAGAAGAACAGCGCAUAGAGUAACUGUUAUGCGUGUGACGGUAUCUAACCAGAAAGCCACGGCUAACUACGUG
This 501-nucleotide ribosomal RNA is filed under the name uncultured bacterium. RNAcentral's name for it is "partial 16S ribosomal RNA". It matches the Rfam family "Bacterial small subunit ribosomal RNA", at positions 28 to 507 of the family's 1533-position model. The record is from RNAcentral.